CUUUCUUGUACUGAGGGCCCCAGGCCCUCUGUAAUGUCCUCUGUAAUGUCCUCUGUAUCUUCUGUUCUACAAUUAGUAUUUUAUUUAGCCUUUUUCUCUUUAAUAGCAAUAGCAAUAGUUCUCAAAAUUGUGACUUACAAUAAUCUGCACAUGAAAAUCACCUGUGCAAAACCAGAGGAGGAGAUAGAAAGGUCAGUGUAGUGCAGGGUUUAGUUAUAGGGAUGAGAAAUCAGGGGACUACACAGGAAAUGAGAAUGGUGAGAUCCAGUCUUGUUUCAUACACAAGUGAAUAAUCAACACUGUUAAAUUAUGGGAUAUUAUCUAUUUUCCACAUGCUUCCGUGAGUUAAUUCAAUCCAGUGUAUCCAUUAGGCAUUUGUUCUCCAGCUGCUUCUACUCACCUUUCUGGUAGAAAUUUAGCCCUGCGUAUGGCCUUGAAUUUAACUUAUUUUCUGUAUAUGAAGGCCUCUGCAGAAUUUGUUAACUUCAUUCAGAACAUAACAUGUAACAUAGUUUGAUGCUUGUCUAAGCUGGCAAAAGAACCUGUUUGGUUGUAAUAACUUGUGAACAUUUGCUCAUCCAAGUGCUUGAGGAAUGGCCAUGCUUUGUGUGGGCUUUGUUAUUGGUGGUACAUUUCUGUGGUCACAGGGAACAGAUAUUUUCAUAAGGACUCAGACAGAGCAAAAGAUUUCAAAGUAGUGUUACUUAAAUACAUAUUUGAAUUUUUAUAUGAAUUUUCUCUAAUUAAAGCCUAUCUUCUUGCUGCAUUGUGAUCCUGGAAAGUAAGGUAGAGUUUAUAAUUCUUGAAAAAGAUUUCUUUAAUUAUAACCAUUCUCUUUCUAUAUUCUAAGCUUGUUAAAGCACAUAUCCAGGUGAUGUUUAUGUAUGUCUGUACACAAACACUCUAUUUGUUGACUUGCAGCAUUUUACUCCAGAACAUACCUGUAGCAGUUUGGCCUCCUUCUCCUGAGAAAAAAAUAAGAGCAGUGCUUAUAAAGAUGACCUAUGAACGUGCACCCUACAUUGGCUUAACACAAUGCCUAAGCUGCCAGUCAGAAAACAUUAACAGCAUUUUGAUGUUAAAAAUUAACUUUCCUGAAGACAAGUUAUUCGAGUUGCGAAACAAUGAAACACACAAGAAAAGAAGGGAGUACAGAAUAGCUAUGAUGUUUGUUUAUGUAUUUGAAGUAGAGGAACUUGCCCAUGUAUUAUGAAACACUGAGUAACCUUAAUGACUCAGUGAUUAAA
This 1247-nucleotide long non-coding RNA is filed under the name Meleagris gallopavo (turkey). RNAcentral's name for it is "lncRNA (ENSMGAG00000020982.1)". The record is from RNAcentral. Lineage: Eukaryota; Metazoa; Chordata; Aves; Galliformes; Phasianidae.